UCAAGAAACUUCCACAAUGGGCGAAAGCCUGAUGGAGCGACGUCGCGUGAUGGACGAAGUGCUUCGGCACGUAAACAUCUUUUUAUGUGGGAUGAAAUUAUUGACAGUACCACAUGAAUAAGGGGCUCCUAACUCUGUGCCAGCAGGAGCGGUAAUACAGAGGCCCCAAGCGUUAUCCGGAAUCACUGGGCGUAAAGGGUGUCGAGGCGGUUGUAUUAGUCGUUCGUAAAAUCUACGAGCUUAACUUGUAGGCGGCGAACGAAACGGUACGACUUGAGGUUUGGAGAGGUGCGUGGAACUCACGGUGUAGGGGUGAAAUCCGUUGAUAUCGUGGGGAACACCAAAGGCGAAGGCAGCGCACUGGCCAAAAUCUGACGCUCACACACGAAAGCUAGGGUAGCGAAGAGGAUUAGAUACCCUGGUAGUCCCUGAGCGGGCUGGCAAGGCGCAU
RNAcentral lists this ribosomal RNA (451 nucleotides) under uncultured bacterium. RNAcentral describes it as "bacterial SSU rRNA". It matches the Rfam family "Bacterial small subunit ribosomal RNA", at positions 355 to 825 of the family's 1533-position model. The record is from RNAcentral.